RNAcentral lists this ribosomal RNA (215 nucleotides) under uncultured bacterium. RNAcentral describes it as "partial 16S ribosomal RNA". It matches the Rfam family "Bacterial small subunit ribosomal RNA", at positions 562 to 776 of the family's 1533-position model. The record is from RNAcentral.
AAAGUGUUCGUAGACGGGAAUGCAAGUUGGUUGUGAAAUCCCUCGGCUUAACUGAGGAACUGCAACCAAAACUACAUUUCGUGAGUGCUGGAGAGGAAAGUGGAAUUCCUAGUGUAGCGGUGAGAUGCGUAGAUAUUAGGAGGAACACCAGUGGCGAAGGCGACUUUCUGGACAGUAACUGACGUUGAGGCACGAAAGUGUGGGGAGCAAACAGG